This 266-nucleotide ribosomal RNA is filed under the name Clostridioides difficile. RNAcentral describes it as "partial 23S ribosomal RNA". It matches the Rfam family "Bacterial large subunit ribosomal RNA", at positions 1918 to 2183 of the family's 2925-position model. Lineage: Bacteria; Bacillati; Bacillota; Clostridia; Peptostreptococcales; Peptostreptococcaceae. The record is from RNAcentral.
CCCCAGUAAACGGCGGCCGUAACUAUAACGGUCCUAAGGUAGCGAAAUUCCUUGUCGGGUAAGUUCCGACCCGCACGAAAGGCGUAACGAUUUGGGCACUGUCUCAACAACAGACUCGGUGAAAUUGGAAUUCCGGUGAAGAUGCCGGAUACCUGCGACAGGACGGAAAGACCCCAUGGAGCUUUACUGUAGCUUGACAUUGGGUCUUGGUACUACAUGUACAGGAUAGGUGGGAGGCUUUGAAACCAGGACGCCAGUUUUGGCGG